Molecule: ribosomal RNA, 540 nt
Filed under: Triticum aestivum (bread wheat)
Lineage: Eukaryota; Viridiplantae; Streptophyta; Magnoliopsida; Poales; Poaceae
Description: partial small subunit ribosomal RNA
Source: RNAcentral
AUGCUCAUCACCAACCCGGAGCGCGUCCGGGCAAUGGUGGCACGUGCCGAAAGAUUGGGUGUGCCCCGUGGCUCUGGGAUGCUCAGGCAAGCGCUGCAGGCUGUCGCGUUUCUCAGCGAGGAGAAGGUUGCCGCCAAAUUGGACUACUUGAAGAAUACUUUCAGGUGGUCUGAUGCCCAAGUGAGCAUUGCUGUGCGCAAGUAUCCGGGUGUGCUGAGGAAGUCAAAGGGACCUCUGAAGCGCAGGUCCGAGUUCCUGUGCUCUAAGGUGGGGCUGGAACCCAUGUACAUUGCUCAUCGAUCGGAAAUACUUUCAUAUAGUAUGGAGGGCCGACUCAGACCUCGGUACUAUGUUAUCAAGUUUCUCAAGCAAAAUGGACUGCUAGACCGUGACUUGAGCUUAUAUUCUGCGGUCAAGAUGACUGAGAAGGUAUUUGUGGAGAAGCUCAUAUGCCCUCACAAGGAAGCCGCACCACACCUUGCUGAAGAUUAUGCAGCAGCUUGCAAAGGGGAAGUGCCUACUAAUUUCAGAUUUACAUGA